GACGAACGCUGGCGGCGUGCUUAACACAUGCAAGUCGAGCGGUAAGGCCCUUUCGGGGGUACACGAGCGGCGAACGGGUGAGUAACACGUGGGUGACCUGCCCUCAGCUCUGGGAUAAGCCUGGGAAACCGGGUCUAAUACUGGAUAUGACUCCAUGACGCAUGUUGUGGGGUGGAAAGCCUUGUGCGGCUGAGGAUGGGCCCGCGGCCUAUCAGCUUGUUGGUGGGGUGAGGCCUACCAAGGCGACGACGGGUAGCCGGCCUGAGAGGGCGACCGGCCACACUGGGACUGAGACACGGCCCAGACUCCUACGGGAGGCAGCAGUGGGGAAUCUUGGACAAUGGGCGCAAGCCUGAUCCAGCCAUGCCGCGUGGGUGAAGAAGGCCU
RNAcentral lists this ribosomal RNA (387 nucleotides) under uncultured bacterium. RNAcentral's name for it is "bacterial SSU rRNA". It matches the Rfam family "Bacterial small subunit ribosomal RNA", at positions 28 to 417 of the family's 1533-position model. The record is from RNAcentral.